RNAcentral lists this ribosomal RNA (416 nucleotides) under uncultured bacterium. RNAcentral's name for it is "bacterial SSU rRNA". It matches the Rfam family "Bacterial small subunit ribosomal RNA", at positions 355 to 787 of the family's 1533-position model. The record is from RNAcentral.
UGGGGAAUAUUGCACAAUGGGGGAAACCCUGAUGCAGCAACGCCGCGUGAAGGAAGACGGUUUUCGGAUUGUAAACUUCUUUUCUUAGUGAAGAAGCAAGUGACGGUAGCUAAGGAAUAAGCAUCGGCUAACUACGUGCCAGCAGCCGCGGUAAUACGUAGGAUGCGAGCGUUAUCCGGAAUUACUGGGUGUAAAGGGAGCGCAGGCGGGACUGCAAGUUGGAUGUGAAAUACCGCAGCUUAACUGCGGAGCUGCAUCCAAAACUGUAGUUCUUGAGUGGAGUAGAGGCAAGCGGAAUUCCGAGUGUAGCGGUGAAAUGCGUAGAUAUUCGGAGGAACACCAGUGGCGAAGGCGGCUGCUGGCUCUAACUGACGCUGAGGCUCGAAAGUGUGGGGAGCAAACAGGAUUAGAUACCC